RNAcentral lists this ribosomal RNA (558 nucleotides) under Siphamia stenotes. RNAcentral describes it as "partial 16S ribosomal RNA". It matches the Rfam family "Bacterial large subunit ribosomal RNA", at positions 1813 to 2576 of the family's 2925-position model. Lineage: Eukaryota; Metazoa; Chordata; Actinopteri; Kurtiformes; Apogonidae. The record is from RNAcentral.
ACAUCGCCUCUUGCAUCAUAAGAAUAAGAGGUCCUGCCUGCCCAGUGACUAUUGUUUAACGGCCGCGGUAUUCUGACCGUGCAAAGGUAGCGCAAUCACUUGUCUCUUAAAUAGAGACCUGUAUGAAUGGCAAGACGAGGGCUAAACUGUCUCCUCCCCCAAGUCAAUGAAACUGAUCUCCCCGUGAAGAAGCGGGGAUAACCUCAUAAGACGAGAAGACCCUGUGGAGCUUCAGACACAAAAUAGCUUACAUUCCUUAACCUGAUUAAAGACCCAAACCUAGUAAUCGCUAUUUCACUGUCUUCGGUUGGGGCGACCACGGAGUAAAACAAAACCCCCGUGCGGAAUGGGGUACCCCUAACUAACCCCUAAAUCUAGGGCGAUGGCCCGAGCAAACAGAAUCUCUGACCUAUAUGAUCCGGCAAAGCCGAUCAACAGACCAAGUUACCCCAGGGAUAACAGCGCAAUCCCCUCCUAGAGUCCAUAUCGACGAGAGGGUUUACGACCUCGAUGUUGGAUCAGGACAUCCUACUGGUGCAGCAGCUAUUAAGGGUUCGU